AAGUCGUAACAAGGUUUCCGUAGGUGAACCUGCGGAAGGAUCAUUACCAAUUCGAAUUGGUGUGCGUUGUGUGUGUGUUCCACACACCACCAAACGCACGCCAAACUCUACCAACCUUUGAUUGUGAACCAUGAGAUUCAAACACAUAGUCUUCCCGUUUUUUGCUUUGCGAAAAGCGGGGAGCAAUUUUAUCCAACCCCAAUUUCACUCUUCACACCACCACCACGCGUGUGUGUGUGUGGGGAACAAAAGCAAGCGUUGAGCUCCGAAAGGAAAAAACAGAAUGUCAUGUACAACUUUUAACGGCGGAUCUCUUGGCUCGU
This 323-nucleotide unclassified non-coding RNA is filed under the name fungal sp. RNAcentral describes it as "partial internal transcribed spacer region". The stretch from base 1 to 46 matches the Rfam family "Eukaryotic small subunit ribosomal RNA", at positions 1786 to 1831 of the family's 1831-position model. Lineage: Eukaryota; Fungi. The record is from RNAcentral.